This is a long non-coding RNA of Balaenoptera acutorostrata (minke whale), 387 nucleotides long. RefSeq lists it as uncharacterized. The transcript has 3 exons. Lineage: Eukaryota; Metazoa; Chordata; Mammalia; Artiodactyla; Balaenopteridae. The record is from RefSeq and is a predicted model, not a curated record.
GCGGGACACCAGCGGCGCCAGCCUCCCGACGCGCGGCCGGUUACCUUCCUCGUAGCCCCAGUCCACACCCUCCUCCUCUUCCUCCUCAUCCUCCUCCUUCUCCGGGAAGGGCACGGAAUCUUCGAUGAAGCUCAGGAACCAGUCAUCAUGGAAGAAACUCUACCACCCCAAGCCCGCCAUGCUGUGAGGAAGCCCAAGCCAGCCACGUGACAACACCUGGAGCAGCACAGAGGCACAGGUGACUGAGACCUUCCAGCCCAGCUUAGCCGCCAGCCGAAUGCAGCCAGAUGUCUCAUAAAUAGCUCUUUUCAAGUGCCUGAAGUUAACUUGGGUUUUUCCCAGAGUGAAACAAUGGGGAGACGGCUCUGAAAGCAACAGGUAAGUGAA